UGGGGAAUUUUGGACAAUGGGGGAAACCCUGAUCCAGCCAUCCCGCGUGUGCGAUGAAGGCCUUCGGGUUGUAAAGCACUUUUGGCAGGAAAGAAACGUCGCGGGUUAAUACCCCGCGAAACUGACGGUACCUGCAGAAUAAGCACCGGCUAACUACGUGCCAGCAGCCGCGGUAAUACGUAGGGUGCAAGCGUUAAUCGGAAUUACUGGGCGUAAAGCGUGCGCAGGCGGUUCGGAAAGAAAGAUGUGAAAUCCCAGAGCUUAACUUUGGAACUGCAUUUUUAACUACCGGGCUAGAGUGUGUCAGAGGGAGGUGGAAUUCCGCGUGUAGCAGUGAAAUGCGUAGAUAUGCGGAGGAACACCGAUGGCGAAGGCAGCCUCCUGGGAUAACACUGACGCUCAUGCACGAAAGCGUGGGGAGCAAACAGGAUUAGAUACCCUGGUAGUCCACGCCCUAAACGAUGUCAACUAGCUGUUGGGGCCUUCGGGCCUUGGUAGCGCAGCUAACGCGUGAAGUUGACCGCCUGGGGAGUACGGUCGCAAGAUUAAAACUUAAAUGAAUUGACGGGGUCAU
Molecule: ribosomal RNA, 574 nt
Filed under: uncultured bacterium
Lineage: Bacteria
Description: partial 16S ribosomal RNA
Rfam family: Bacterial small subunit ribosomal RNA
Source: RNAcentral